GCAAGUCGUACGUGAAAGCUUCCUUCGGGAAGUAAGUAAAGUGGCGCACGGGUGAGUAACACGUGGAUAAUCUAUCCGGUAGUCAGGGAUAACAUUUCGAAAGAAAUGCUAAUACCUGAUAAGCCCACGAUCUCUUCGGAGGACGAGGGAAAAGGUGGGGACCUUCGGGCCUGCCGUUGCUGGAUGAGUCCGCGGCCCAUUAGCUAGUUGGUAGGGUAAUGGCCUACCAAGGCUACGAUGGGUAGCUGGUCUGAGAGGAUGAUC
RNAcentral lists this ribosomal RNA (264 nucleotides) under uncultured bacterium. RNAcentral describes it as "partial 16S ribosomal RNA". It matches the Rfam family "Bacterial small subunit ribosomal RNA", at positions 57 to 305 of the family's 1533-position model. The record is from RNAcentral.